CACGUAGGCACCAAGCGUUAUCCGGAUUUAUUGGGCGUAAAGGGCGUGUAGGCGGCUUCGUGUGUCCCAUGUGAAAGCCCUCGGCUCAACCGGGGAACUGCAUGGGAAACUGCGGAGCUUGAGUCCGGGAGAGGUGAGUGGAAUUCCCAGUGUAGCGGUGAAAUGCGUAGAUAUUGGGAGGAGCACCGGUGGCGAAGGCGGCUCACUGGACCGGUACUGACGCUGAGACGCGAAAGCCAGGGGAGCAAACGGG
Molecule: ribosomal RNA, 253 nt
Filed under: uncultured bacterium
Lineage: Bacteria
Description: partial 16S ribosomal RNA
Rfam family: Bacterial small subunit ribosomal RNA
Source: RNAcentral